This 369-nucleotide ribosomal RNA is filed under the name uncultured bacterium. RNAcentral's name for it is "bacterial SSU rRNA". It matches the Rfam family "Bacterial small subunit ribosomal RNA", at positions 796 to 1165 of the family's 1533-position model. The record is from RNAcentral.
CACGCUGUAAACGAUGAUUACUAGCUGCUGGGAGUUUUAAACUAUCAGUAGCGCAGCUAACGCGAUAAGUAAUCCGCCUGGGGAGUACGGCCGCAAGGUUAAAACUCAAAGGAAUUGACGGGGCCCGCACAAGCGGUGGAGCAUGUGGUUUAAUUCGAUGCAACGCGAAGAACCUUACCUACCCUUGACAUACAGAGAAUCUUGCAGAGAUGUGAGAGUGCCGAAAGGAGCUCUGAUACAGGUGCUGCAUGGCUGUCGUCAGCUCGUGUCGUGAGAUGUUGGGUUAAGUCCCGUAACGAGCGCAACCCCUAUUCUUAAUUGCCAUCAGGUUAUGCUGGGCACUUUAAGGAGACUGCUGGUGACAAACCA